RNAcentral lists this ribosomal RNA (490 nucleotides) under uncultured bacterium. RNAcentral describes it as "partial 16S ribosomal RNA". It matches the Rfam family "Bacterial small subunit ribosomal RNA", at positions 30 to 507 of the family's 1533-position model. The record is from RNAcentral.
AUUGAACGCUGGCGGCAGGCCUAACACAUGCAAGUCGAACGGUAACAGGAAGAAGCUUGCUUCUUUGCUGACGAGUGGCGGACGGGUGAGUAAUGUCUGGGAAACUGCCUGAUGGAGGGGGAUAACUACUGGAAACGGUAGCUAAUACCGCAUAACGUCUCAAGACCAAAGAGGGGGACCUUCGGGCCUCUUGCCAUCGGAUGUGCCCAGAUGGGAUUAGCUAGUAGGUGGGGUAACGGCUCACCUAGGCGACGAUCCCUAGCUGGUCUGAGAGGAUGACCAGCCACCCUGGAACUGAGACACGGUCCAGACUCCUACGGGAGGCAGCAGUGGGGAAUAUUGCACAAUGGGCGCAAGCCUGAUGCAGCCAUGCCGCGUGUAUGAAGAAGGCCUUCGGGUUGUAAAGUACUUUCAGCGGGGAGGAAGGGAGUAAAGUUAAUACCUUUGCUCAUUGACGUUACCCGCAGAAGAAGCACCGGCUAACUCCGUG